Molecule: ribosomal RNA, 487 nt
Filed under: uncultured Tsukamurella sp.
Lineage: Bacteria; Bacillati; Actinomycetota; Actinomycetes; Mycobacteriales; Tsukamurellaceae
Description: partial 16S ribosomal RNA
Source: RNAcentral
CACGUAGUUGGCCGGUGCUUCUUCUGUAGGUACCGUCACUUGCGCUUCGUCCCUACUGAAAGAGGUUUACAACCCGAAGGCCGUCAUCCCUCACGCGGCGUCGCUGCAUCAGGCUUUCGCCCAUUGUGCAAUAUUCCCCACUGCUGCCUCCCGUAGGAGUCUGGGCCGUGUCUCAGUCCCAGUGUGGCCGGUCGCCCUCUCAGGCCGGCUACCCGUCGUCGCCUUGGUAGGCCAUUACCCCACAACAAGCUGAUAGGCCGCGGGCCCAUCCUGUACCGCAAAAGCUUUCCACCAACCCCCAUGCAGGGGAAGGUCAUAUCCGGUAUUAGACCCAGUUUCCCAGGCUUAUCCCGAAGUACAGGGCAGGUCACCCACGUGUUACUCACCCGUUCGCCACUCGUGUACCCCCGAAGGGGCCUUACCGUUCGACUUGCAUGUGUUAAGCACGCCGCCAGCGUUCGUCCUCGUAGCCAGGAUCAAACGUACU